RNAcentral lists this ribosomal RNA (671 nucleotides) under Levilactobacillus brevis. Its description in RNAcentral is "bacterial SSU rRNA". It matches the Rfam family "Bacterial small subunit ribosomal RNA", at positions 56 to 692 of the family's 1533-position model. Lineage: Bacteria; Bacillati; Bacillota; Bacilli; Lactobacillales; Lactobacillaceae. The record is from RNAcentral.
UGCAAGUCGAACGAGCUUCCGUUGAAUGACGUGCUUGCACUGAUUUCAACAAUGAAGCGAGUGGCGAACUGGUGAGUAACACGUGGGGAAUCUGCCCAGAAGCAGGGGAUAACACUUGGAAACAGGUGCUAAUACCGUAUAACAACAAAAUCCGCAUGGAUUUUGUUUGAAAGGUGGCUUCGGCUAUCACUUCUGGAUGAUCCCGCGGCGUAUUAGUUAGUUGGUGAGGUAAAGGCCCACCAAGACGAUGAUACGUAGCCGACCUGAGAGGGUAAUCGGCCACAUUGGGACUGAGACACGGCCCAAACUCCUACGGGAGGCAGCAGUAGGGAAUCUUCCACAAUGGACGAAAGUCUGAUGGAGCAAUGCCGCGUGAGUGAAGAAGGGUUUCGGCUCGUAAAACUCUGUUGUUAAAGAAGAACACCUUUGAGAGUAACUGUUCAAGGGUUGACGGUAUUUAACCAGAAAGCCACGGCUAACUACGUGCCAGCAGCCGCGGUAAUACGUAGGUGGCAAGCGUUGUCCGGAUUUAUUGGGCGUAAAGCGAGCGCAGGCGGUUUUUUAAGUCUGAUGUGAAAGCCUUCGGCUUAACCGGAGAAGUGCAUCGGAAACUGGGAGACUUGAGUGCAGAAGAGGACAGUGGAACUCCAUGUGUAGCGGUGGAAUGCGUA